UAAUACGGAGGGAGCGAGCGUUGUCCGAAGUUACUGGGCGUAAAGCGCGCGUAGGCGGGGAAUUAAGUGAGAAGUGAAAGGCUGGGGCUCAACCUCAUGCAGUGCUUCUCAUACUGGUUCUCUUGAGGGCGGUAGGGAGAAGUGGAAUGGCUGGUGUAGCGGUGAAAUGCGUAGAUAUCAGUCGGAACACCGGUGGCGAAGGCGGCUUCUUGGGCCGUUUCUGACGCUGAGGCGCGAAAGCCAGGGGAGCGAACGGGAUUAGAUACCCCGGUAGUCCUGGCCGUAAACGAUGGAUACUAGGUGUUGGGGGUAUCGACCCCUCCAGUGCCGCAGCUAACGCAGUAAGUAUCCCGCCUGGGGAGUACGGCCGCAAGGUUG
RNAcentral lists this ribosomal RNA (378 nucleotides) under uncultured bacterium. RNAcentral's name for it is "bacterial SSU rRNA". It matches the Rfam family "Bacterial small subunit ribosomal RNA", at positions 521 to 896 of the family's 1533-position model. The record is from RNAcentral.